RNAcentral lists this ribosomal RNA (408 nucleotides) under uncultured bacterium. Its description in RNAcentral is "partial 16S ribosomal RNA". It matches the Rfam family "Bacterial small subunit ribosomal RNA", at positions 28 to 526 of the family's 1533-position model. The record is from RNAcentral.
GACGAACGCUGGCGGCGUGCUUAACACAUGCAAGUAGCACGGAGUGGCGAACGGGUGAGUAACACGUGGGUGACCUGCCCUGCACUUCGGGAUAAGCCUGGGAAACUGGGUCUAAUACCGGAUAGUGUGGGAUGGGCCCGCGGCCUAUCAGCUGGUUGGUGGUGUAAUGGCGUACCAAGGCGGCGACGGGUAGCCGGCCUGAGAGGGUGGACGGCCACAUUGGAGCUGAGACACGGCCAAGACUCCUACGGGAGGCAGCAGUGGGGAAUAUUGCACUAUGUGCGGAAGCCUGAUGCAGCGGCGCCGCAUGGGGGAUGACGGCCUUCGGGUUGUAAACUCCUUUCACCAUCGACGCGGUGGAUGGCGAAGAAGCACCGGCUAACUACGUGCCAGCAGCCGCGGUAAUAC